Molecule: ribosomal RNA, 251 nt
Filed under: uncultured bacterium
Lineage: Bacteria
Description: partial 16S ribosomal RNA
Rfam family: Bacterial small subunit ribosomal RNA
Source: RNAcentral
UACGUAGGGUGCGAGCGUUGUCCGGAAUUACUGGGCGUAAAGAGCUCGUAGGUGGUUUGUCGCGUUGUCCGUGAAAACUCACAACUCAAUUGUGGGCGUGCGGGCGAUACGGCAGACUGGAGUACUGCAGGGGAGACUGGAAUUCCUGGUGUAGCGGUGGAAUGCGCAGAUAUCAGGAGGAACACCGGUGGCGAAGGCGGCAUCCUGGACCGGCAUUGACGCUGAGGAGCGAAAGCCAGGGAGCAAACGGG